This 902-nucleotide long non-coding RNA is filed under the name Pan paniscus (pygmy chimpanzee). RNAcentral's name for it is "lncRNA (ENSPPAG00000045431.1)". Lineage: Eukaryota; Metazoa; Chordata; Mammalia; Primates; Hominidae. The record is from RNAcentral.
UGAGUUGAGGGUUUCCAAAGAUCUAAAAUCAGCAGCUGCUAACUCGACAUGUGACUCAGAGUAAACCACUUUCCUGGUAGGUCUCACUUUGCCCAAAAAUGUAAUAAGAGGAUCUCUUGGGACUCUUGGCUUGAAUACUGUUGGGUUGUGAGUAAGCUGGACUCAUUUCAGGACUCUGAGCAGAGUUCUCAGGUCUGUAAGCCAAGCCACUUCUGUUUCUCUUUGGGUUGCUAUAAAGUACAGACGAUUCUACCAACCUUGACACAAAUGCCCAGCUGCCCCCAGUUCAGUGCCACAGAGAAAAGCCUUGCAGAACAGGUUGAGUUUGUAGAUGGGCAUGCGGUAGACGGUAUCAUCUCUUCUCUAUCAAUGACUUGGGUGAUACUUCUGGCAACAAAACAGACAGUUCUCGGCCUCUGUGUUUUCAUUUGUCCAACUGAAGAUUAGACAAGAGGCAGCAUGGGGUGGUGGAUAAAUCGUGGACCAGGAUUGAAGCGAAGAUCUGCUCAUCUGGGACACUCACCAGGUAAGUGAGAUUGAGAAGGGGACUCCUCUUGGAUCUUAGUUUCUUCACUGACUAGCAGGCAUUGCAAGACCAGUUUUCCAAGGCUGCUGAGAGUCAACUGUGCAAACAUGCUGUGAACUAGGUAAGUGGCAUCAUCCUUAUUUAUAGACUAGGCAACCAAGGCUUAGCAGGUUAAGUAAUAGUCCCAAUGUCACUCAGAAAGUGAUGGUGUUGGGAUACGCACUCAGUCUUUCUAGCCUUGAAGCACAUGUGUUUUCUAGUAUACCUCACUGGUCCCCAAAACUCAAUCCAAUAUUGAGCUGAGUAAAUUUUCUCGUCUGUCAGCUGUAUGGAGUAAUUCCCCCUGAGCUUACUUACAGUCAACCUUCAGUGUGAA